AGUGAACGCUGGCGGUAGGCCUAACACAUGCAAGUCGAACGGCAGCACAGUAAGAGUUUGCUCUUACGGGUGGCGAGUGGCGGACGGGUGAGGAAUACAUCGGAAUCUACUUUUACGUGGGGGAUAACGGAGGGAAACUGAUGCUAAUACCGCAUACGACCUACGGGUGAAAGCAGGGGAUCUUGAGAGCUUGCGCGACAGAAUGAGCCGAUGCCGGAUUAGCUAGGUGGUGGGGUAAAGGCCCACCAAGGCGACGAUCCGUAGCUGAUCUGAGAGGAUGAUCGGCCACACUGGAACUGAGACACGGUCCAGACUCCUACGGGAGGCAGCAGUAGGGAAUAUUGCGCAAUGGGCGCAAGCCUGACCCAGCCAUGCCGCGUGAGUGAUGAAGGCCUUCGGGUUGUAAAACCCUUUUGUUGGGAAAGAAAAACAGCAGAUUAAUCCACCGCUGUUCUGACGGUACCCAAAGAGUAAGCCCCGGCUAACUUCGUG
RNAcentral lists this ribosomal RNA (492 nucleotides) under uncultured bacterium. RNAcentral's name for it is "partial 16S ribosomal RNA". It matches the Rfam family "Bacterial small subunit ribosomal RNA", at positions 29 to 507 of the family's 1533-position model. The record is from RNAcentral.